CGUGCAGGCGGUUCGGCAAGUCGGACGUGAAAGCUCCUGGCUCAACUGGGAGAGGCCGUUCGAGACUACCAGACUAGAGGGCAGUAGAGGGAGGUGGAAUUCCGGGUGUAGCGGUGAAAUGCGUAGAUAUCCGGAGGAACACCAGUGGCGAAAGCGGCCUCCUGGACUGCCCCUGACGCUUAGACGCGAAAGCUAGGGGAGCGAACGGGAUUAGAAACCCCGGUAGUCCUAGCCGUAAACGAUGCGGACUUGGUGUUGGUGGCUUAAACUCCAUCAGUGCCGAAGCUAACGCGAUAAGUCCGCCGCCUGGGGACUACGGCCGCAAGGUUAAA
This 332-nucleotide ribosomal RNA is filed under the name uncultured bacterium. Its description in RNAcentral is "bacterial SSU rRNA". It matches the Rfam family "Bacterial small subunit ribosomal RNA", at positions 568 to 898 of the family's 1533-position model. The record is from RNAcentral.